GGUUCCAUGGUGUAGUGGUUUAGCACUCUGGACUUUGAAUCUAGUGACCUGGAUUCGAAUCCCGAUGGGACCU
Non-coding RNA from Rhododendron griersonianum, 73 nucleotides. The record is from the annotation of a GenBank genome assembly. Lineage: Eukaryota; Viridiplantae; Streptophyta; Magnoliopsida; Ericales; Ericaceae.